GAUGGGAGCUUGCUCCCUGAUGUUAGCGGCGGACGGGUGAGUAACACGUGGGUAACCUGCCUGUAAGACUGGGAUAACUCCGGGAAACCGGGGCUAAUACCGGAUGGUUGUCUGAACCGCAUGGUUCAGACAUAAAAGGUGGCUUCGGCUACCACUUACAGAUGGACCCGCGGCGCAUUAGCUAGUUGGUGAGGUAACGGCUCACCAAGGCGACGAUGCGUAGCCGACCUGAGAGGGUGAUCGGCCACACUGGGACUGAGACACGGCCCAGACUCCUACGGGAGGCAGCAGUAGGGAAUCUUCCGCAAUGGACGAAAGUCUGACGGAGCAACGCCGCGUGAGUGAUGAAGGUUUUCGGAUCGUAAAGCUCUGUUGUUAGGGAAGAACAAGUGCCGUUCAAAUAGGGCGGCACCUUGACGGUACCUAACCAGAAAGCCACGGCUAACUACGUGCCAGCAGCCGCGGUAAUACGUAGGUGGCAAGCGUUGUCCGGAAUUAUUGGGCGUAAAGGGCUCGCAGGCGGUUUCUUAAGUCUGAUGUGAAAGCCCCCGGCUCAACCGGGGAGGGUCAUUGGAAACUGGGGAACUUGAGUGCAGAAGAGGAGAGUGGAAUUCCACGUGUAGCGGUGAAAUGCGUAGAGAUGUGGAGGAACACCAGUGGCGAAGGCGACUCUCUGGUCUGUAACUGACGCUGAGGAGCG
RNAcentral lists this ribosomal RNA (700 nucleotides) under Bacillus amyloliquefaciens. RNAcentral's name for it is "bacterial SSU rRNA". It matches the Rfam family "Bacterial small subunit ribosomal RNA", at positions 71 to 755 of the family's 1533-position model. Lineage: Bacteria; Bacillati; Bacillota; Bacilli; Caryophanales; Bacillaceae. The record is from RNAcentral. RNAcentral also lists the same sequence under 1 other name.